GACGAACCGUGCGAACGUUGUUCGGAAUUACUGGGCGUAAAGGGCUCGUAGGCGGCCAACUAAGUCAGACGUGAAAUCCCUCGGCUUAACCGGGGAACUGCGUCUGAUACUGGAUGGCUUGAGGUUGGGAGAGGGAUGCGGAAUUCCAGGUGUAGCGGUGAAAUGCGUAGAUAUCUGGAGGAACACCGGUGGCGAAGGCGGCAUCCUGGACCAAUUCUGACGCUGAGUGAGCGAAAGCCAGGGGAGCAAACGGG
RNAcentral lists this ribosomal RNA (254 nucleotides) under uncultured bacterium. RNAcentral's name for it is "partial 16S ribosomal RNA". It matches the Rfam family "Bacterial small subunit ribosomal RNA", at positions 524 to 776 of the family's 1533-position model. The record is from RNAcentral.